CAGGUCACUCCUACGGGAGGCAGCAGUGGGGAAUUUUGGACAAUGGGGGCAACCCUGAUCCAGCAAUGCCGCGUGUGUGAAGAAGGCCUUCGGGUUGUAAAGCACUUUUGUCCGGAAAGAAAACCUCCGUCCUAAUACGGUGGGGGGAUGACGGUACCGGAAGAAUAAGCACCGGCUAACUACGUGCCAGCAGCCGCGGUAAUACGUAGGGUGCAAGCGUUAAUCGGAAUUACUGGGCGUAAAGCGUGCGCAGGCGGUUCGCUAAGACCGAUGUGAAAUCCCCGGGCUUAACCUGGGAACUGCAUUGGUGACUGGCGGGCUAGAGUAUGGCAGAGGGGGGUAGAAUUCCACGUGUAGCAGUGAAAUGCGUAGAGAUGUGGAGGAAUACCGAUGGCGAAGGCAGCCCCCUGGGCCAAUACUGACGCUCAUGCACGAAAGCGUGGGGAGCAAACAGGAUUAGAUACCCUGGUAGUCCACGCCCUAAACGAUGUCAACUAGUUGUCGGGUCUUCAUUGACUUGGUAACGAAGCUAACGCGUGAAGUUGACCGCCUGGGGAGUACGGUCGCAAGAUUAAAACUCAAAGGAAUUGAC
Molecule: ribosomal RNA, 592 nt
Filed under: uncultured Burkholderia sp.
Lineage: Bacteria; Pseudomonadati; Pseudomonadota; Betaproteobacteria; Burkholderiales; Burkholderiaceae
Description: bacterial SSU rRNA
Rfam family: Bacterial small subunit ribosomal RNA
Source: RNAcentral